This 200-nucleotide ribosomal RNA is filed under the name uncultured bacterium. RNAcentral describes it as "partial 16S ribosomal RNA". It matches the Rfam family "Bacterial small subunit ribosomal RNA", at positions 8 to 235 of the family's 1533-position model. The record is from RNAcentral.
AGAGUUUGAUCCUGGCUCAGGACGAACGCUGGCGGUGUGCCUCACACAUGCAAGUCGAACGGGGUAGCAAUACCUAGUGGCGGACGGGUGAGUAACACGUGGGAAUCUGCCCUUGAGUGGUGAAUAACUGACCGAAAGGUUAGCUAAUGUGCCAUACGUCGCAAGAUGAAAGCAGCAAUGCGCUGAAGGAUGAGCCCGCG